RNAcentral lists this ribosomal RNA (879 nucleotides) under uncultured bacterium. Its description in RNAcentral is "bacterial SSU rRNA". It matches the Rfam family "Bacterial small subunit ribosomal RNA", at positions 506 to 1398 of the family's 1533-position model. The record is from RNAcentral.
GGUCAGCAGCGAGAAAAAACGUAGGAUCCGAGCGUUAUCCGGAUUUACUGGGCGUAAAGCGCGUGCAGGUGGUUCGGUAAGUUGGAUGUUAAAUCUCCCGGCUCAACUGGGAGCUGUCGUUCAAAACUGCCAAACUAGAGGACGGUAGAGGGAGGUGGAAUUCCGGGUGUAGUGGUGAAAUGCGUAGAUAUCCGGAGGAACACCAGUGGCGAAGGCGGCCUCCUGGCCCGCUCCUGACACUAAGACGCGAAAGCUAGGGUAGCGAACGGGAUUAGACACCCCGGUAGUCCUAGCCGUAAACGAUGUGAACUAGGUGUUGGUGGGGUUAAACCCAUCAGUGCCGCAGCAAACGCGAUAAGUUCACCGCCUGGGGACUACGAUCGCAAGAUUAAAACUCAAAGGAAUUGACGGGGGCCCGCACAAGCAGCGGAGCGUGUGGUUUAAUUCGAUGCUACGCGAAGAACCUUACCUGGGUUUGACAUAUAGGUGGUAGUGAACCGAAAGGGGAACGACUCCUCGGAGAGCCUAUACAGGUGUUGUAUGGCUGUCGUCAGCUCGUGCCGUGAGGUGUCCGGUUAAGUCCGGUAACGAGCGCAACCCUUGCUGUAUGUUAUACGUGUCAUACGGGACUGCCGGUAUAAAGCCGGAGGAAGGUGGGGACGACGUCAAGUCAGCAUGACCUUUAUAUCCAGGGCUACACACACGCUACAAUGGCCAGUACAACAGGUUGCAAUACCGCGAGGUGGAGCCAAUCCCUAAAACUGGCCUCAGUUCGGAUUGCGGGCUGCAACUCGCCUGCAUGAAGUCGGAGUUGCUAGUAACCGCGCGUCAGCAUUAGUGCGGUGAAUACGUUCCCGGGCCUUGCACACACCGCCCGUC